CGGUAAUUCCAGCUCCAAUAGCGUAUACUAAAGUUGUUGCAGUUAAAAAGCUCGUAGUUGGAUUUCUGCGGGGACGGAGCGGCCGGUCGCAAUUUGCGACUCGAGCUAGCGCUUUCCCCGCACCCUGCCGCGAACCGUGCUACCAUUAGUUUGGUGGCGCUGGGGAUCGGCUCGAUUACUUUGAGAAAAAUAGAGUGUUCAAAGCAGGCCACACGCCUUGAAUAAGUUAGCAUGGAAUAAUGACUAAGGACUUUGGUUCUUUUCGUUGGUGUUCGGGACUGAAGUAAUGAUUGAUAGGGACAGUUGGGGCGGUCCGUAUUCCAAAGCGAGAGGUGAAAUUCUUAGACCUUCGGAAGACGAACAGCUGCGAAAGCGUUCCGCAAGGAUGUUCCCUUUGAUCAAGAACGAAAGUUGGGGGAUCGAAGACGAUCAGAUACCGUCGUAGUCUCAACUAUAAACUAUACCAGCUAGGGAUCGGCCAACGUUUAAUUUAUCGACUUGGUCGGCACCUUAUGAGAAAUCAAAGCAUCUGGGUUCCGGGGGGAGUAUGGUCGCAAGGCUGAAACUUAAAGGAAUUGACGGGAGGGCACCACCAGCCGUGGAGCCUGUGGCUUAAUUUGACUCAACACGGGAAAACUUACCAGGUCCAGACAUAGGAAGGAUUGACAGAUUGAUAGCUCUUUCUUGAUUCUGUGGGUGGUGGUGCAUGGCCGUUUUUAGUCGGUGGAUGUGAUCUGUCUGCUUAAUUGCGUUAACGGACGAGACCCCAGCCUGCUAAAUAGCGCGGCCGAGCUUUGCUCGGUGCGAGCUUCUUAGAGGGACCAUGAUGCGCGAUAGCACAAGGAAGUUUGGGGCAACAACAGGUCUGUGAUGCCCUUAGAUGUUCUGGGCCGCACACGGGCUACACUGGCGCCUGCAACGAGCAUAUCAGCUGGCCCGAGAGGGUCUUGGCUAAUCUUUGGAACCGGCGCCGUGCUUGGGAUUGACCAUUGCAAUUGUUGGUCAUGCAACGAGGAAUGCCUUGUAAACGCGAGUCAUCAGCUCGCAUUGAAUACGUCCCUGCCCUUUGUACACACCGCCCGUCGCUCCUACCGAUGAAUGUUCCGAUGAAAUUUUCGGAGAGCACCAGAGAACGGGGCUCCGCCUUGCAGAUCUGGAGGCUCAAAGUCACUUAAAUUUGAACAUUUCGAGGAAGGAGAAGUCGUAACAAGGUAACC
This 1217-nucleotide ribosomal RNA is filed under the name uncultured Rhizaria. RNAcentral's name for it is "SSU rRNA". It matches the Rfam family "Eukaryotic small subunit ribosomal RNA", at positions 577 to 1804 of the family's 1831-position model. The record is from RNAcentral.